RNAcentral lists this long non-coding RNA (1042 nucleotides) under Sus scrofa (pig). Its description in RNAcentral is "lncRNA (ENSSSCG00035044981.1)". The record is from RNAcentral. Lineage: Eukaryota; Metazoa; Chordata; Mammalia; Artiodactyla; Suidae.
CCACCCUGAACACAAAUUGGCAGGCAGGAAUGCGCCCGUAGGAAGUGGAACUCAAUGCAGCAUUGUUUCUGCGUGAGAACUUACUCUGCCCUACUCUGAGCUGGCCUUAACAAAGAAGGAUCAGGGCAGGUGUUUGGGGUUUGUUUUUUUCCCCUUCUCUUAGGUAGCCAAAUCCCGGGGUUCAAGUUAACUUCCAGGACCCUGAGAAUCAGGUCCAGGAGGAAAUCCGAGUGUUGAGAGGCAAAUGAUUCCUAAAGACACAAAGUGAUGAUGGGCGUUUCCAGAAAUCUGUGCAAUGACAGUCCCCGAAGUCGUUGCAAAGACAGACGACUAAGAAUGAUCAGAAACCACUCAGCAAACACACGGCCUUGUAACAUAAUAAGGGGAUGACCACCGGGCAACUGAACUGACUCUCAGACACGCGACCCAUAUCCCUGGUUUCUUCAUGAGUGAAAAUAACAGAACAGUUCAAGUCCAUCCUCUGAAGGCUGCCUGUUUCUAAUGAAGCCCCAGGCCCACUGCAAACUUCUCACGUCUCUUGACAACUCAUGGAGGUAUCGCCAUCAAGGCAGCCAGGGAAACGUCUAACUGAAUUGCCUAGAUAGUUUUGUUUCAGGUCAGAGAGUGAAGGUCCCAAGGGCCCCGUUUGUGUAGGACAGUGGGGUUUCUUCUAGAACACAAAGGUAGCUGCGGUGGUUGGUAACCUGAGGCUCAUCUUUCGUCUAAUUGAUGGAGAGCCUUAUCCUCUAUUACAUCUAUUAAAUCAACUGGUCGGGGCGGGGGGGCGUUCUCAGCUCAGAGCAAUCUGAAAAGACCCUUUCGCUUUCCCAUCAAAACCAUCUCCACCACUCUUCUUCUAGUAUCCAAAUAUCUCUUUUCCUUGCUUCACAGAGCUCACAGUUUAAGCAGAGUAAGCGUGUCUGUUUUCAAUUCUUAACUUUUCACACACAUGGCAAAUGAGAGGAACUUUUGAACACUGCAAUCAUCUGGCUGAUGAGCAAGCUGUUUUCCAUUUCUGGCAACAAAUACUUUUGGCUUAUCU